GGGGGGGGGGAUCAGAGGGAGGCGAAGUUCGAGCACUGAGAGGAGGGAACUCGAUGUAUGGAUGAGGACCGACGGUGGUCUUCUCUAGCGUGGGGAGGACCAGCGACGACAUCAGGGCUAGAGAGGAGACAGGAGUUAGACAUGGCACAGGCGAGUCGAGCACACAGGAGAGGCACGACUGACAAGGACAACCACCAGGGCGCCAUGACGAGGAUGGUGAUAGGGAGGGGCUCGACCAACGAGGAAAUUGCUGGCACCGAGGCUUGCAACCUUACAGUCAGAAAGGAGGGAGCAGGGGCAAGCACCGUGUGGGGGAGGGAGAUAAGGGAGCAGGGAAAUGUCAGCUUCAAGCAGAGGGAGGGCGGUGCGAGGAUAAGGAGAGAGUUGGGCGGUGGAUAUAAUGAGAAUUCAGAUUUUUCC
This 420-nucleotide unclassified non-coding RNA is filed under the name Zea mays. Its description in RNAcentral is "misc RNA Zm00001eb380000". Lineage: Eukaryota; Viridiplantae; Streptophyta; Magnoliopsida; Poales; Poaceae. The record is from RNAcentral.